Molecule: ribosomal RNA, 523 nt
Filed under: uncultured bacterium
Lineage: Bacteria
Description: bacterial SSU rRNA
Rfam family: Bacterial small subunit ribosomal RNA
Source: RNAcentral
GACGAACGCUGGCGGCGUGCCUAACACAUGCAAGUCGAACGAAGCACUUCUUUAGAAGCAUUCGUGUGGAAGAAGAAAUGACUGAGUGGCGGACGGGUGAGUAACGCGUGAGUAACCUGCCCCAGAGAGCGGGAUAGCGUUUGGAAACGAACGGUAAUACCGCAUAAAGUAUUAGAUUCGCAUGGAUUUAAUACCAAAGAUUUAUCGCUCUGGGAUGGACUCGCGUUGGAUUAGAUAGUUGGUGGGGUAACGGCCUACCAAGUCAACGAUCCAUGGCCGGACUGAGAGGUUGAACGGCCACAUUGGGACUGAGACACGGCCCAGACUCCUACGGGAGGCAGCAGUGGGGGAUAUUGGACAAUGGGCGAAAGCCUGAUCCAGCCAUGCCGCGUGUGUGAAGAAGGUCUUCGGAUUGUAAAGCACUUUAAGUUGGGAGGAAGGGUUGUAGAUUAAUACUCUGCAAUUUUGACGUUACCGACAGAAUAAGCACCGGCUAACUCUGUGCCAGCCGCCGCCGUAAUAC